ACAGCCUCUACACCCAGUGUCUCAGUUGGAGGGCGCAGCACCGACAGACGAGGACUCGGCGUUGGCCUCCGAAGUCAAGACGUGAGGAGCAGAGACACACCGCGAGACAGAGGAAACACAAGCUCACCCAGACAGCGGGACAGACAGAGGAGAGAUGACAGAGAGUCAAUGAGAGAGACCAACCCAAGACCGAGCCCCACUCCCAGCCGCAGAGAGUCCCAGUCUCUGUGGAGCAGGUCCAGUCAGAACCAGCUUGCCCCAGCUGUGGCUCCCAGUCCAGCCCCAGCCCCGCCAACCCCAGUUCCAGCCCCAGCCCCAACUCCUGCCCUUACGCCUGCAUCAACCUCAGGUACCUUCCAUCGUUGACAUUUGCUGCCCCCAGCUGGCUAAUCUUGCACAGUGUCACACCUGUUGUACUUCAUCUCUGUUUUCUCCUCCUGGUUCG
This is a long non-coding RNA of Acanthochromis polyacanthus (spiny chromis), 445 nucleotides long. RefSeq lists it as uncharacterized. The record is from RefSeq and is a predicted model, not a curated record. NCBI's taxonomy places the organism in Eukaryota, Metazoa, Chordata, Actinopteri, Pomacentridae. The transcript has 4 exons.